AUUAUUUUUGUAAAAAAUAUCUGUUAUAGUGUGCGAAUAAAAUGUCGCUCGAGUUAUGGUUUCGAGGACGGAACUGGGAACAUGCGGCAUAUUUCCGAUGAUUGCCGAAAAUGUACCGAGAUGUUGCACCCUCCAUGUCGUUCCUAGGCAACGUGGUUGCUAUAUAAAUCUAGCCAAUCAGAUCGCGAGGUCGAUUGUCCGCCAUUACCUCCGUCAACUUGUCGGACCUCAGUUGAACACCGCGAGAAUACAUAUGAAAACAGAAAAUGGUGAAAACGUGCUCGUGGGGAACUGGCAACAGUAACGGCCGAUACCCUGAUAGAUUGGAGGGCGGUGUUGUAUAUUCUACAAUUCAUGAAACCUAAAACAUACAGCUUUGGAAGUUUUGUCAGCAGCAGCUUAAAUAAAGAGGCUAGAACAACAACUACAUAGAUAUGAGCUGCUGAAUUUGCACCAUGAACAACAAAAUACUACAUCUUUCUCAAGUGUUAUAUUGAUAGUGAAAUUAAGCAGAAAUAAAAUCGAUUGACAUCCUGAA
This is a long non-coding RNA of Pecten maximus, 538 nucleotides long. RefSeq lists it as uncharacterized. Lineage: Eukaryota; Metazoa; Mollusca; Bivalvia; Pectinida; Pectinidae. The record is from RefSeq and is a predicted model, not a curated record. The transcript is spliced from 2 exons.